GCGAUGAUAGCUCAGUUGGGAGAGCGUCAGACUGAAGACUUCAGUCUCCUGAAGGUCCCCGGUUCAAACCCGGGUCGUCGCA
Molecule: non-coding RNA, 82 nt
Organism: Cephalotrichum gorgonifer
Lineage: Eukaryota; Fungi; Ascomycota; Sordariomycetes; Microascales; Microascaceae
Source: the annotation of a GenBank genome assembly